This 460-nucleotide ribosomal RNA is filed under the name uncultured bacterium. Its description in RNAcentral is "partial 16S ribosomal RNA". It matches the Rfam family "Bacterial small subunit ribosomal RNA", at positions 338 to 795 of the family's 1533-position model. The record is from RNAcentral.
CCUACGGGGGGCUGCAGUGAGGAAUAUUGGUCAAUGGGCGCGAGCCUGAACCAGCCAAGUAGCGUGAAGGAUGACUGCCCUACGGGUUGUAAACUUCUUUUAUAAAGGAAUAAAGUGAGGCACGUGUGCCUUUUUGUAUGUACUUUAUGAAUAAGGAUCGGCUAACUCCGUGCCAGCAGCCGCGGUAAUACGGAGGAUCCGAGCGUUAUCCGGAUUUAUUGGGUUUAAAGGGAGCGUAGAGGGGUUGUUAAGUCAGUGGUGAAAGUUUGCGGCUCAACCGUAGCAUUGCAGUUGAUACUGGUAGCCUUGAGUACGGUGGAGGUAUGCGGAAUGCGGGGUGUAGCGGUGAAAUGCUUAGAUAUCGCGAAGAACCCCGAUUGCGAAGGCAGCGUGCUAUGCCGCCACUGACGUUGAUGCACGAAAGUGUGGGUAUCGAACAGGAUUAGAUACCCGGGUAGUC